GACGAACGCUGGCGGCGUGCCUAAUACAUGCAAGUAGAACGCUGAAGAGAGGAGCUUGCUCUUCUUGGAUGAGUUGCGAACGGGUGAGUAACGCGUAGGUAACCUGCCUUGUAGCGGGGGAUAACUAUUGGAAACGAUAGCUAAUACCUCAUAACAAUGGAUGACACAUGUCAUUUAUUUGAAAGGGGCAAUUGCUCCACUACAAGAUGGACCUGCGUUGUAUUAGCUAGUAGGUGAGGUAAUGGCUCACCUAGGCGACGAUACAUAGCCGACCUGAGAGGGUGAUCGGCCACACUGGGACUGAGACACGGCCCAGACUCCUACGGGAGGCAGCAGUAGGGAAUCUUCGGCAAUGGGGGCAACCCUGACCGAGCAACGCCGCGUGAGUGAAGAAGGUUUUCGGAUCGUAAAGCUCUGUUGUAAGUCAAGAACGGGUGUGAGAGUGGAAAGUUCACACUGUGACGGUAGCUUACCAGAAAGGGACGGCUAACUACGUG
Molecule: ribosomal RNA, 497 nt
Filed under: uncultured bacterium
Lineage: Bacteria
Description: partial 16S ribosomal RNA
Rfam family: Bacterial small subunit ribosomal RNA
Source: RNAcentral